RNAcentral lists this ribosomal RNA (497 nucleotides) under uncultured bacterium. RNAcentral's name for it is "partial 16S ribosomal RNA". It matches the Rfam family "Bacterial small subunit ribosomal RNA", at positions 28 to 507 of the family's 1533-position model. The record is from RNAcentral.
GAUGAACGCUGGCGGCGUGCCUAAUACAUGCAAGUCGAGCGAACGGACGAGAAGCUUGCUUCUCUGUUGUUAGCGGCGGACGGGUGAGUAACACGUGGAUAACCUACCUAUAAGACUGGGAUAACUUCGGGAAACCGGAGCUAAUACCGGAUGAUAUUUUGAACCGCAUGGUUCAAAAGUGAAAGACGGUCUUGCUGUCACUUAUAGAUGGAUCCGCGCUGCAUUAGCUAGUUGGUAAGGUAACGGCUUACCAAGGCAACGAUGCAUAGCCGACCUGAGAGGGUGAUCGGCCACACUGGAACUGAGACACGGUCCAGACUCCUACGGGAGGCAGCAGUAGGGAAUCUUCCGCAAUGGGCGAAAGCCUGACGGAGCAACGCCGCGUGAGUGAUGAAGGUCUUCGGAUCGUAAAACUCUGUUAUUAGGGAAGAACAUAUGUGUAAGUAACUGUGCACAUCUUGACGGUACCUAAUCAGAAAGCCACGGCUAACUACGUG